Molecule: ribosomal RNA, 253 nt
Filed under: uncultured bacterium
Lineage: Bacteria
Description: partial 16S ribosomal RNA
Rfam family: Bacterial small subunit ribosomal RNA
Source: RNAcentral
GACAGAGGGUGCAAACGUUGUUCGGAAUUACUGGGCGUAAAGCGCGUGUAGGCUGCUUCGAAAGUCGGAUGUGAAAGCCCUGGGCUCAACCUAGGAACUGCACCUGAAACUACCAGUCUUGAGUGGUGGAGAGGGAAGUGGAAUUCCUGGUGUAGAGGUGAAAUUCGUAGAUAUCAGGAGGAACACCAGUGGCGAAGGCGGCUUCCUGGACACUAACUGACGCUGAGACGCGAAAGCGUGGGGAGCAAACAGG